RNAcentral lists this ribosomal RNA (382 nucleotides) under uncultured eukaryote. RNAcentral's name for it is "partial 18S ribosomal RNA". It matches the Rfam family "Eukaryotic small subunit ribosomal RNA", at positions 592 to 975 of the family's 1831-position model. The record is from RNAcentral.
CAAUAGCGUAUAUUAAAGUUGUUGCAGUUAAAAAGCUCGUAGUUGGGUUUCUGGUAGGAGUGACCGUGCCAGACUUGAUUGUCUGUGUAUUGUGUUGUCUCCAGCCAUCCUUGUGGAGAACUUUUCUUGCAUUAAUUUGUAGGGAUUGGGACCCGCAUCGUUUACUGUGAAAAAAUUAGAGUGUUUAAAGCAGGCAAUCGCUUGAAUACAUUAGCAUGGAAUAAUAAGAUAGGACUUUGGUACUAUUUUGUUGGUUUGCAUACCAAAUUAAUGACCAACAGGAACAGUUUGAGGAUAUUCGUAUGAACAUGUCAGAGGUGAAAUUCUUGGAUUUUGAUCAGACGAACUACUGCGAAAGCAUUUAUCAAGGAUGUUUNCAUUA